UAAAGAUUUUAAGGGCGUACGGUGGAUGCCUUGGCGAUAUCAGCCGAAGAAGGACGCGGUAAGCUGCGAUAAGCUACGGAGAGGUGCAAGCAACCUGUGACCCGUAGAUUUCCGAAUGGGGGAACCCGGCAGUGGUUAUGCACUGUCACCCAUAGCUUAGACUAUGAGGAGGGCACCUGGGGAACUGAAACAUCUAAUUACCCAGAGGAACAGUAAUCAAACGAGAUUUUCUUAGUAGCGGCGAGCGAACGGGAAAGAGGCCAAACCGGAGCGGGCAACCGCACCGGGGUUGAGGACAGUCAUCAAGUGUAAAUGAGGUAGAAGAAUCGAGCUGGAAAGCUCAGCCGCAGAAGGUGAAAGCCCUGUAAUCGAAACCUUGCAUACAUGGGACUGUAUCCAGAGUACCACGAGACACGUGAAACCUUGUGGGAAGCAGGGGGGACCACCCUCCAAGCCAAAAUACUGAUAUCGACCGAUAGCGCAUAGUACCGUGAGGGAAAGGUGAAAAGAACCCCUGGCGGGGAGUGAAAGAGAACCUGAAACCGUAUGUCUACAAACAGUCGAAGUCUGUAUAUAUAUCAGGACGACGGCGUGCCUAUUGAAGAAUGAACCGACGAGUUACUGUUGCUAGCGAGGUUAAGUGGAAAACAUGGAGCCGCAGCGAAAGCGAGUCUGAACAGGGCGUUCAGUUAGUAAUAGUAGACCCGAAACCGUAGUGAUCUAUCCAUGGCCAGGUUGAAGCACAGGUAAAAUUGUGUGGAGGACCGAACUCGUGAGCGUUGAAAAGCUUUGGGAUGAGUUGUGGAUAGGGGUGAAAUGCCAAUCGAACACGGAGAUAGCUGGUUCUCCCCGAAAUAGCUUUAGGGCUAGCCUCGAGGUAGAGAGUAUAGGCGGUAGAGCACUGAUCGGGCUAGGGGCCAUACCGGUUACCGAACCUAGUCAAACUACGAAUGGCUAUACUUAUACUCGGGAGUCAGACAGUGAAUGAUAAGGUCCAUUGUCAAGAGGGAAACAGCCCAGAACACCGACUAAGGUCCCCAAUGUUACACUAAGUGGCGAAGGAUGUGGAAUUUCCAAAACAACCAGGAUGUUGGCUUAGAAGCAGCCACCAUUUAAAGAGUGCGUAAUAGCUCACUGGUCGAGAGACUCUGCGCCGAAAAUGUCCGGGGCUAAAGUGUAAAACCGAAGUCGUGUCAUAUGCAGCAAUGUAUAUGGGUAGGGGAGCGUUCUCAUCGGGCUGAAGCAGUACCGUAAGGAGUUGUGGACUGAUGAGAAGUGAGAAUGUCGGUAUGAGUAGCGAAAAGAAUGGUGAGAAUCCAUUCCACCGAAAGCCUAAGGGUUCCUGAGCAACGAUCGUCGUCUCAGGGUAAGUCGGGACCUAAGCCGAGGCGGAAAAGCGUAGGCGAUGGACAACAGGUUGAAAUUCCUGUACCGGUGUGAAUCGUUUGAUCGAUGGAGUGACACAGUAAGGUAGGUCAGCACGCGAUUGGAAGAGCGUGUUUAAGCAGGUAGGUUGAGCUAUAGGCAAAUCCGUAGCUCUAAAAGCUGAGAUGUGAUGACGAGCGACUAGCAAUAGUCGCGAAGUGAUUGAUCCUACACUGUCGAGAAAAGCUUCUAGGUAGAGACACAUCGCCCGUACCAAAACCGACACAGGUAGGCGGGGAGAGAAUCCUAAGGUGCGCGGGAAAACCCUCGUUAAGGAACUCGGCAAAAUGCCUCCGUAACUUCGGGAAAAGGAGGACUCAUGUAGUGUGAAGAGCAGAAGCGCUUGGAGCAUGAAUGAGUGGCACAAGAGAGGCGCAAGCGACUGUUUACCACAAACACAGGUGCCUGCUAAAGCGAAAGCUGAUGUAUAGGUGCUGACACCUGCCCGGUGCUGGAAGGUUAAGAGGAGGGGUUAGACUUCGGUCGAAGCUCUGAAUUGAAGCCCCAGUAAACGGCGGCCGUAACUAUAACGGUCCUAAGGUAGCGAAAUUCCUUGUCGGGUAAGUUCC
RNAcentral lists this ribosomal RNA (1994 nucleotides) under human gut metagenome. Its description in RNAcentral is "bacterial LSU rRNA". It matches the Rfam family "Bacterial large subunit ribosomal RNA", at positions 1 to 1984 of the family's 2925-position model. The record is from RNAcentral.